Molecule: ribosomal RNA, 601 nt
Filed under: Escherichia coli
Lineage: Bacteria; Pseudomonadati; Pseudomonadota; Gammaproteobacteria; Enterobacterales; Enterobacteriaceae
Description: partial 23S ribosomal RNA
Rfam family: Bacterial large subunit ribosomal RNA
Source: RNAcentral
UCAACCGAGAUUCCCCCAGUAGCGGCGAGCGAACGGGGAGCAGCCCAGAGCCUGAAUCAGUGUGUGUGUUAGUGGAAGCGUCUGGAAAGGCGCGCGAUACAGGGUGACAGCCCCGUACACAAAAAUGCACAUGCUGUGAGCUCGAUGAGUAGGGCGGGACACGUGGUAUCCUGUCUGAAUAUGGGGGGACCAUCCUCCAAGGCUAAAUACUCCUGACUGACCGAUAGUGAACCAGUACCGUGAGGGAAAGGCGAAAAGAACCCCGGCGAGGGGAGUGAAAAAGAACCUGAAACCGUGUACGUACAAGCAGUGGGAGCACGCUUAGGCGUGUGACUGCGUACCUUUUGUAUAAUGGGUCAGCGACUUAUAUUCUGUAGCAAGGUUAACCGAAUAGGGGAGCCGAAGGGAAACCGAGUCUUAACUGGGCGUUAAGUUGCAGGGUAUAGACCCGAAACCCGGUGAUCUAGCCAUGGGCAGGUUGAAGGUUGGGUAACACUAACUGGAGGACCGAACCGACUAAUGUUGAAAAAUUAGCGGAUGACUUGUGGCUGGGGGUGAAAGGCCAAUCAAACCGGGAGAUAGCUGGUUCUCCCCGAAAGCU